AGUGAACGCUGGCGGUAGGCCUAACACAUGCAAGUCGAACGGCAGCACAGUAAGAGCUUGCUCUUACGGGUGGCGAGUGGCGGACGGGUGAGGAAUACAUCGGAAUCUACUUUUUCGUGGGGGAUAACGUAGGGAAACUUACGCUAAUACCGCAUACGACCUACGGGUGAAAGCAGGGGAUCUUCGGACCUUUCGCGAUUGAAUGAGCCGAUGUCGGAUUAGCUAGUUGGCGGGGUAAAGGCCCACCAAGGCGACGAUCCGUAGCUGGUCUGAGAGGAUGAGCAGCCAAACUGGAACUGAGACACGGUCCAGAAUCCUACGGGAGGCAGCAGUGGGGAAUAUUGGACAAUGGGCGCAAGCAUGAUACAGCAAUACCGCGUGGGUGAAGAAGGCCUUCGGGUUGUAAAGCCCUUUUGUUGGGAAAGAAAAGAAGCAGGUUAAUACCCCGCUGUUCUGACGGUACCAAAAGAAUAAGCACCGGCUAACUUCGUG
This 492-nucleotide ribosomal RNA is filed under the name uncultured bacterium. Its description in RNAcentral is "partial 16S ribosomal RNA". It matches the Rfam family "Bacterial small subunit ribosomal RNA", at positions 29 to 507 of the family's 1533-position model. The record is from RNAcentral.